This 96-nucleotide small RNA is filed under the name Salmonella enterica. Its description in RNAcentral is "partial RtT sRNA". It matches the Rfam family "RtT RNA", at positions 50 to 130 of the family's 130-position model. Rfam says of the family: This family represents a bacterial cis-regulatory element known as RtT RNA. The exact function of RtT is unknown although it is thought that it may be involved in changing the cellular response in relation to amino acid starvation. The record is from RNAcentral. RNAcentral also lists the same sequence under 6 other names. Lineage: Bacteria; Pseudomonadati; Pseudomonadota; Gammaproteobacteria; Enterobacterales; Enterobacteriaceae.
UAACAUCAAACUCAGAUGUUGAGCGUGAAGGAUAACGUUGCGUCAGCAACGGCCCGUAGGGCGAGGCGAAGCCGAGUCAUCCUGCACGACCCACCA